Molecule: ribosomal RNA, 20 nt
Filed under: Globisporangium longisporangium
Lineage: Eukaryota; Oomycota; Peronosporomycetes; Pythiales; Pythiaceae
Also listed under: 1 other name
Description: Pythium longisporangium partial 28S ribosomal RNA
Source: RNAcentral
UUGGACCUGAUAUCAGACAA